RNAcentral lists this ribosomal RNA (536 nucleotides) under uncultured bacterium. RNAcentral's name for it is "bacterial SSU rRNA". It matches the Rfam family "Bacterial small subunit ribosomal RNA", at positions 777 to 1304 of the family's 1533-position model. The record is from RNAcentral.
AAUAGAUACCCGGGUAGUCCACGCCGUAAACGGUGGGCACUAGGUGUGGGCAACAUUCCACGUUGUCCGUGCCGCAGCUAACGCAUUAAGUGCCCCGCCUGGGGAGUACGGCCGCAAGGCUAAAAACUCAAAGGAAUUGACGGGGGCCCGCACAAGCGGCGGAGCAUGUGGCUUAAUUCGAACGCAACGCGAAGAACCUUACCAAGGCUUGACAUACACCGGAAACAUCCAGAGAUGGGUGCCCCCUUGUGGUCGGUGUACAGGUGGUGCAUGGCUGUCGUCAGCUCGUGUCGUGAGAUGUUGGGUUAAGUCCCGCAACGAGCGCAACCCUUGUCCCGUGUUGCCAGCAGGCCCUUGUGGUGCUGGGGACUCACGGGAGACCGCCAGGGGUCAACUCGGAGGAAGUGGGGACGACGUCAAGUCAUCAUGCCCCUUAUGUCUUGGGCUGCACACGUGCUACAAUGGCCGGUACAAUGAGCUGCGAUACCGCGAGGUGGAGCGAAUCUCAAAAAGCCGGUCUCAGUUCGGAUUGGGGU